ACGUAGGGUGCGAGCGUUAAUCGGAAUUACUGGGCGUAAAGCGUGCGCAGGCGGUUUCGUAAGACAGAGGUGAAAUCCCCGGGCUCAACCUGGGAACUGCCUUUGUGACUGCGAGGCUAGAGUACGGCAGAGGGGGGUGGAAUUCCACGUGUAGCAGUGAAAUGCGUAGAGAUGUGGAGGAACACCGAUGGCGAAGGCAGCCCCCUGGGCCGAUACUGACGCUCAUGCACGAAAGCGUGGGUAGCAAACAGG
This 252-nucleotide ribosomal RNA is filed under the name uncultured bacterium. RNAcentral describes it as "partial 16S ribosomal RNA". It matches the Rfam family "Bacterial small subunit ribosomal RNA", at positions 525 to 776 of the family's 1533-position model. The record is from RNAcentral.